Molecule: ribosomal RNA, 495 nt
Filed under: uncultured bacterium
Lineage: Bacteria
Description: partial 16S ribosomal RNA
Rfam family: Bacterial small subunit ribosomal RNA
Source: RNAcentral
GACGAACGCUGGCGGCGUGCCUAAUACAUGCAAGUCGAACGCUGAAGGAGGAGCUUGCUUCUCUGGAUGAGUUGCGAACGGGUGAGUAACGCGUAGGUAACCUGCCUGGUAGCGGGGGAUAACUAUUGGAAACGAUAGCUAAUACCGCAUAAUAGUAGAUGUUGCAUGACAUUUGCUUAAAAGGUGCAAUUGCAUCACUACCAGAUGGACCUGCGUUGUAUUAGCUAGUUGGUGAGGUAACGGCCCACCAAGGCGACGAUACAUAGACGACCUGAGAAGGGGAACGGCCGCCCUGGGACUGAGACACGGCCCAGGCUCCUCCAGGAGGCAGCAGUAGGGAAUCUUCGGCAAUGGACGGAAGUCUGACCGAGCAACGCCGCGUGAGUGAAGAAGGUUUUCGGGUCGUAAAGCUCUGUUGUAAGAGAAGAGCGAGUGUGCGAGUGGAAAGUUCACACUGUGACGGUAUCUUACCAGAACGAGACGGCUAACUACGUG